This 1342-nucleotide ribosomal RNA is filed under the name uncultured bacterium. Its description in RNAcentral is "bacterial SSU rRNA". It matches the Rfam family "Bacterial small subunit ribosomal RNA", at positions 28 to 1381 of the family's 1533-position model. The record is from RNAcentral.
GACGAAACGCCUGGCGGCGCGCCUAACACAUGCAAGUUCGAACGGAGCUGAGAGGAGCUUUGCUUUUUCUUAGCUUAGUUGGCGAACGGGUGAGUAACGCGUGAGUAACCUGCCCUGGAGUGGGGACAACAGUUUGGAAACGACUGCUAAUACCGCAUAAGCCCACGGUGCUGCAUGGCACUGCGGGAAAAGGAUUUAUUCGCUUCAGGAUGGACUCGCGUCCAAUUAGCUAGUUGGUGAGGUAACGGCCCACCAAGGCGACGAUUGGUAGCCGGACUGAGAGGUUGAACGGCCACAUUGGGACUGAGACACGGCCCAGACUCCUACGGGAGGCAGCAGUGGGGGAUAUUGCACAAUGGGGGAAACCCUGAUGCAGCGACGCCGCGUGGAGGAAGAAGGUUUUCGGAUUGUAAACUCCUGUCGUUAGGGACGAUAAUGACGGUACCUAACAAGAAAGCACCGGCUAACUACGUGCCAGCAGCCGCGGUAAAACGUAGGGUGCAAGCGUUGUCCGGAAUUACUGGGUGUAAAGGGAGCGCAGGCGGACCGGCAAGUUGGAAGUGAAAUCCAUGGGCUCAACCCGUGAAUUGCUUUCAAAACUGCUGGCCUUGAGUAGUGCAGAGGUAGGUGGAAUUCCCGGUGUAGCGGUGGAAUGCGUAGAUAUCGGGAGGAACACCAGUGGCGAAGGCGACUACUGGGCACCAACUGACGCUGAGGCUCGAAAGCAUGGGUAGCAAACAGGAUUAGAUACCCUGGUAGUCCAUGCCGUAAACGAUGAUUACUAGGUGUCGGAGGAUUGACCCCUUCAGUGCCGCAGUUAACACAAUAAGUAAUCCACCUGGGGAGUACGACCGCAAGGUUGAAACUCAAAGGAAUUGACGGGGGCCCGCACAAGCAGUGGAGUAUGUGGUUUAAUUCGAAGCAACGCGAAGAACCUUACCAGGUCUUGACAUCCGAUGCAUAGUGCAGAGAUGCAUGAAGUCCUUCGGGACAUCGAGACAGGUGGUGCAUGGUUGUCGUCAGCUCGUGUCGUGAGAUGUUGGGUUAAGUCCCGCAACGAGCGCAACCCUUAUUGCCAGUUACUACGCAAGAGGACUCUGGCGAGACUGCCGUUGACAAAACGGAGGAAGGUGGGGAUGACGUCAAAUCAUCAUGCCCUUUAUGACCUGGGCUACACACGUACUACAAUGGCGUUUAACAAAGAGAAGCAAGACCGCGAGGUGGAGCAAAACUCAGAAACAACGUCUCAGUUCAGAUUGCAGGCUGCAAACUCGCCUGCAUGAAGUCGGAAUUGCUAGUAAUCGCGGAAUCAGCAUGCCGCGGUGAAUACGUUCCCGGGCCU